This 583-nucleotide ribosomal RNA is filed under the name uncultured bacterium. RNAcentral's name for it is "partial 16S ribosomal RNA". It matches the Rfam family "Bacterial small subunit ribosomal RNA", at positions 355 to 1375 of the family's 1533-position model. The record is from RNAcentral.
UGGGGAAUUUUGGACAAUGGGCGAAAGCCUGAUCCAGCAAUGCCGCGUGUGUGAAGAAGGCCUUCGGGUUGUAAAGCACUUUUGUCCGGAAAGAAAUCCUUGGCUCUAAUACAGUCGGGGGAUGACGGUACCGGAAGAAUAAGCACCGGCUAACUACGUGCCAGCAGCCGCGGUAAUACGUAGGGUGCAAGCGUUAAUCGGAAUUACUGGGCGUAAAGCGUGCGCAGGCGGUUUGCUAAGACCGAUGUGAAAUCCCCGGGCUCAACCUGGGAACUGCAUUGGUGACUGGCAGGCUAGAGUAUGGCAGAGGGGGGUAGAAUUCCACGUGUAGCAGUGAAAUGCGUAGAGAUGUGGAGGAAUACCGAUGGCGAAGGCAGCCCCCUGGGCCAAUACCGACGCUCAUGCACGAAAGCGUGGGGAGCAAACAGGAUUAGAUACCCUGGUAGUCCACGCCCUAAACGAUGUCAACUAGUUGUUGGGGAUUCAUUCCUUAGUAACGUAGCUAACGCGUGAAGUUGACCGCCUGGGGAGUACGGUCGCAAGAUUAAAACUCAAUGAAUUGACGGGGUCAUAGCUGUUUCCU